Molecule: ribosomal RNA, 565 nt
Filed under: Saccharomyces cerevisiae (brewer's yeast)
Lineage: Eukaryota; Fungi; Ascomycota; Saccharomycetes; Saccharomycetales; Saccharomycetaceae
Description: partial large subunit ribosomal RNA
Rfam family: Eukaryotic large subunit ribosomal RNA
Source: RNAcentral
CGGCGAGUGAGCGGCAAAAGCUCAAAUUUGAAAUCUGGUACCUUCGGUGCCCGAGUUGUAAUUUGGAGAGGGCAACUUUGGGGCCGUUCCUUGUCUAUGUUCCUUGGAACAGGACGUCAUAGAGGGUGAGAAUCCCGUGUGGCGAGGAGUGCGGUUCUUUGUAAAGUGCCUUCGAAGAGUCGAGUUGUUUGGGAAUGCAGCUCUAAGUGGGUGGUAAAUUCCAUCUAAAGCUAAAUAUUGGCGAGAGACCGAUAGCGAACAAGUACAGUGAUGGAAAGAUGAAAAGAACUUUGAAAAGAGAGUGAAAAAGUACGUGAAAUUGUUGAAAGGGAAGGGCAUUUGAUCAGACAUGGUGUUUUGUGCCCUCUGCUCCUUGUGGGUAGGGGAAUCUCGCAUUUCACUGGGCCAGCAUCAGUUUUGGUGGCAGGAUAAAUCCAUAGGAAUGUAGCUUGCCUCGGUAAGUAUUAUAGCCUGUGGGAAUACUGCCAGCUGGGACUGAGGACUGCGACGUAAGUCAAGGAUGCUGGCAUAAUGGUUAUAUGCCGCCCGUCUUGAAACACGGACC